AGUGAACGCUGGCGGUAGGCCUAACACAUGCAAGUCGAACGGCAGCACUGUAAGAGCUUGCUCUUACGGGUGGCGAGUGGCGGACGGGUGAGGAAUACAUCGGAAUCUACUUUUUCGUGGGGGAUAACGUAGGGAAACUUACGCUAAUACCGCAUACGACCUACGGGUGAAAGCAGGGGAUCUUCGGACCUUGCGCGAUUGAAUGAGCCGAUGUCGGAUUAGCUAGUUGGCGGGGUAAAGGCCCACCAAGGCGACGAUCCGUAGCUGGUCUGAGAGGAUGAUCAGCCACACUGGAACUGAGACACGGUCCAGACUCCUACGGGAGGCAGCAGUGGGGAAUAUUGGACAAGGGGCGCAAGCCUGAUCCAGCCAUACCGCGUGGGUGAAGAAGGCCUUCGGGUUGUAAAGCCCUUUUGUUGGGAAAGAAAAGCAGCAGGUUAAUACCCCGCUGUUCUGACGGUACCCAAAGAAUAAGCACCGGCUAACUUCGUG
Molecule: ribosomal RNA, 492 nt
Filed under: uncultured bacterium
Lineage: Bacteria
Description: partial 16S ribosomal RNA
Rfam family: Bacterial small subunit ribosomal RNA
Source: RNAcentral